This 460-nucleotide ribosomal RNA is filed under the name uncultured bacterium. Its description in RNAcentral is "partial 16S ribosomal RNA". It matches the Rfam family "Bacterial small subunit ribosomal RNA", at positions 338 to 795 of the family's 1533-position model. The record is from RNAcentral.
CCUACGGGGGGCAGCAGUGAGGAAUAUUGGUCAAUGGACGAGAGUCUGAACCAGCCAAGUAGCGUGAAGGAUGACUGCCCUAUGGGUUGUAAACUUCUUUUAUAUGGGAAUAAAAUGUUCCACGUGUGGGAUUUUGUAUGUCCCAUAUGAAUAAGGAUCGGCUAACUCCGUGCCAGCAGCCGCGGUAAUACGGAGGAUCCGAGCGUUAUCCGGAUUUAUUGGGUUUAAAGGGAGCGUAGGUGGAUUGUUAAGUCAGUUGUGAAAGUUUGCGGCUCAACCGUAAAAUUGCAGUUGAAACUGGCAGUCUUGAGUACAGUAGAGGUGGGCGGAAUUCGUGGUGUAGCGGUGAAAUGCUUAGAUAUCACGAAGAACUCCGAUUGCGAAGGCAGUUCACUGGACUGCAACUGACACAGAGGCUCGAAAGUGUGGGUAUCAAACAGGAUUAGAUACCCCUGUAGUC